UUGACAGGAACCCCCUCCCUCAGAGGCCUGGUAAAAGGCAGAAGGCUGCAGUGAGGCAGUGUGCGGCAUCUCCUGCAGGCAGAGGACUCUUCCCAAGGCCCUGUCUCCCAACCCUUGUACCAGUGCUGUUCUUCAGACCCUGGUACAGGCCUGGGGGGCAGGGACCUGGGAACUCCAGCAGCAGCAGCUCCAGCUCCCUCCAGCGCCCUGUCCUGGGAACCAGUGGUAGGCAGCGGCUCUCCGGAAGUGGACAUUCAAACACUGUUGACACUCAAGGUGGACAGCCUGCCUCUACCUAGGACACCCCAGCUUCUCUCCAAAAUCACCCUUAAGGGCUCCCCCCACCAGCGGCCCUUCCUGAUCGACACAGAUGCUUGUCUCAGGUUGUGCCAGGUUAGUAGAGGACUGUGCUCACCUGAAACAGGGGGACAGGUGCACAGACAUGUUCUUGUGACGCUUCUCAAAGCGAUUGUACUUUCGGAUGUAAUGAAGAUAGUCCCGGCGGAUGACAAUGGUCCUCUGCAUCUUCAUCUUGGUCACGACACCUUGAGAAAGUGGGGGGAGAAGGUGUUAGCAAGCCAAGGGUAAUUCAUGCUGCAGCAAAACAAGCUGUUGAACGGGGCUCCCAAGAAAUCCCGCUUCUGGCAUCAGUUUUGUCAAUUGGUUGUCUCAGCAGUGCCCUUGGGGCUGUCUGAAGACCAUCGUGAGAAUGGACAUCAUCUGCCGGAGAACCUGGAUUCAGAACCUCGAGCCACACUUCAGUUUCUUACUCACCGGACAGGAUCCGACCUCGGAUGGAGACGUUGCCAGUGAACGGGCAUUUCUUGUCAAUGUAGGUGCCCUCGAUGGCCUGAAAAGACGAGAAAGUGCAGUUUGAACUACCAAACUACAAUUCCCAGGAGCCCCGAAGGCAGCCACUCCGAAAAGAGCGCGGUGGCCCUGCUCCCACAUGCAAGGCCACGAGUCUCAUCUGUGGGAGGGUCCUGUACCUCCUUGGGCGUCUUGAAGCCUAGACCGAUGUUUUUGUAGUACCGAGGGAGUUUUUCCUUGCCGGUUUCUCCAAGCAGAACACGCUUCUUGUUUUGGAAGAUUGUGGGCUGCUUUUGGUAAGCACGUUCGGUCUGUAGGGACAAUCGUUCGGUGAGACCCCGGGUGAGCUUGCCUUUCCACCCUUGGACGCCUUCCACCCCUUAACGCCAGCGCCCACAACCACCCCAUAUCUCUUCUAGCUACCACACCAGGUUCAAACACGUUUCCCGUCUGAAGGCCCUUCCCAAGCACACGCGCUCACGCCCUCAGAAGCCACACCGCACGGACACGCAGCCCGGCAUAGUGGGCCGGACCCGCGGCAACAGUGCCGACCCCAGCGAGCCGGCGCUCACCCCCACUCGGGGAAACCGUGUGAAAGCAGCCUCCCCACGCGCUGCCAUACACGACUAACGCCCAGAGUGCCUGAGACCCCAUGGCUGUGUAAGCCCAGGACGUCGGAGGCGCUCAACAGAUGAAGGCACAGGGUAGGCGCCCUCGCUUCGGCUAAUUCGGAGGAUGACGGGGACGCCAGCCUCGGCGCCAGCCCUCAGCUCAAACCUGAAUGUCCGCCAUCUUCCCGGCAGUCUGAGGAAAAGAGAGGUGGGCUGACUCCCGGGUUUCCUUCUUCACUACGCGAGGUCUGCAGCGGAAGUGACGUAUGGCCAGCCCUGCACGGAUUUAGGAGGCAUUUCCGGUGCAGAGCAUGCGAUUCUGGAACUGUCCGUACGCCGCCAUGGUAGUGGAGGACUAUGGGACCGGAAGCGGAGCUUAUCAUCUCGCGAGAUCUCAGGCGGCAGGCUGGGAAGCGACUUCCUGCGGUUCCGCGAAAGUAGCCGGGCGGGGUCAGGUUUCUUCGGGAACGGGAGUCACGUGUAAUUUAGAACCGCGUGGUGGUCUUCAGAUUCCUGGCGAGAGGCGGCGGUGGCCAUGUUUCACCCGGGCUGACAUUACUAGCCUUUUUUCCUUUAUUAAAGUAUACAUCCACGUGUACCGGCGGCACGGUCUCUUUGUAGACCGCUCUUGACACCAUCGUGGUCCUCCCACAAACCACCAAGACCGGAGCUAUAGGUGCCAUAGGUUUGUUUGUUGGGUGUAUAUUCCAACCCCAUUCCCUCCUGGGUUUACGACCUGAUUACCUUUGGAGAGACCACACCCCUCGGAAACGGAGGGACCCCAGUAAUUAAACCACAACUCAGGAGGCAGAAAAAGCUUUGUGCCAAAUGGAGUUAGAAGAAUUUUCCCGGCUAUAUUCAGGACAGUAAAUAGAAUAGCGUUUUGCGUGUUGGGAUUCCUUUAAUGCCAGCACUCACAGUUAAGUUUCAGAUCAGCUAGGGCCACACAGUGAGAUUGCCUAGCGAAUCAAGCGACCUCCUGAUACACUAGUCAUUAUUCACCUAGGGGAAGCAUAGAGAGGAAGGAAUUUUAGUUGUUGUCUUUCUGGGAUGUUACAAUUUCGCGAAAGAUUUAAUAUGUAAAGAAUUUGAUUUUUUUUUCUUAAAUCACCAAGAAAACAGACCCAAUGUGUGACAAGCCAUAAGCAAAUUUUUUUAAGAGAUUUAUUUAGAUCUCAUUUCACAUGGUUAUGAGCCACCAUGUGGUUGCUGGUAAUUGAACUCAGGACCUCUGGAAGAGCAGUUAGUGCUCUUAACCGCUGAGCCAUCUCACCAGCCCCAGCAAAAUUGUUUUAAGCCGUGUUCAUGGUCAACUGUAUACCACCUAAUACCUCGAAAGCUGAGGGACAGAGGUCAAUCCUACCCCAAACCAACAAACAUGAUCACUGAAACUGGCACGAUGUUGUGACAGGAUUCCUCCUCUACCCUGCAUUUGCUUAACCAGUCCAGGCUGGCCCGCUCAACCAACCUAAAACUCCAAGCAUACGUGGUCUUUCUGUGGCAGUAUGUCUAAGCAAACCUGUAGUUGAGGAUGUAGCCCACGGAAUCACUAUCAACAAUUCUACAUUAAAGCCCCCUCAGUUUGGUGGUGGGCCUCACCUUUGAUCCCAGCACUUGAGAGACAGAAGAACCUCCAGCUUUGGAACCAUUUUGGUCUACAGAAUGGGUACCAGGACAGAAAAAGCAACAGAGAAACAAACCCUCCCUCCAAAACGCAAAACCUCAUGAGGCAAGUUCCUGGUCAUUAUGGUGCACAGGGAUGACACUUAGGACAGCUGCCUGCACUACAGGAUACCUCUGCUAAUGACAUUCUUUCUGUAUAGCCCUGGCUCUCCUGGAACUCUACAGACCAAGGCUGGCAACCAAACACUAGAGGAUUAAAGGUGUGCACCUCCAAUGUCUUAUCUGGUGUAGGCUGGUGGGAAUUUAUAUGAGAUUCCGGCUUGAGGGCCAGGAGGUUAGAUCUCCUGGAGCUAGAUGGUUGUGAGCCAAAAGGCAGGCUGUCCCUUAAACCCUUCAUGCCUUUAUGUCUGAGGAACGAUGUAAAAUUGUUUAGUUUGACCUCUCUUCCCUGGUUGGCACUGUUCCAGCUCCCCAUUUUCAGUACCCUUAACUAGCUUCCCCAGCCUUAAUUCAUUUGGGGCAUUGAGUUCCUGAAGCCCAUGUGCUAGUGACAUCCCGUACUUUGCAGCUGAAUUAGAGUUAAGUAAAACCAUUUCAGGCAGGAUCCACGGGAAGAUUUGUGCCUGCACCUUUUGAGCAACAAAGCACCUUCGUGCCUUCAACAAAAUAGCAUACCACAGCCUAUAAAUUCCAAAUUUUUGGUCCCCAUUGUUCCUUCCUAUAUAGCAUACAUAGUGCAAAGAUACCAGUUUUCUUUAACAGUCAAAUAAUUUAUUAUUAGCAACAGAACGCUGUUGAAGAAAGUAAAAUUGCUUUCUGAGCAGUAUUGGGAAGGAGCAAAGGCAGUGGCUUCCCAGUGUGUACUUCUGAAUCCCAGCCCAGAUGUUAGGUCUCCAUCCUCAUCCUCACAGCUGCAGAAUACAUAUGGCCUUGGGUUUGAUGGGCAGAGCAGCCCAGUCAGUCAUUAAAACUAAAGUCAAAGUAAUAACUCUCAGAG
Myodes glareolus (Bank vole) is the source of this 4041-nucleotide non-coding RNA. NCBI's taxonomy places the organism in Eukaryota, Metazoa, Chordata, Mammalia, Rodentia, Cricetidae. The record is from RefSeq and is a predicted model, not a curated record.